This 453-nucleotide ribosomal RNA is filed under the name uncultured cyanobacterium. Its description in RNAcentral is "bacterial SSU rRNA". It matches the Rfam family "Bacterial small subunit ribosomal RNA", at positions 28 to 524 of the family's 1533-position model. The record is from RNAcentral. Lineage: Bacteria; Bacillati; Cyanobacteriota.
GAUGAACGCUGGCGGUAUGCUUAACACAUGCAAGUCGAACGGUCACUUACGGUGAUAGUGGCGGACGGGUGAGUAACGCGUGAGAAUCUGUCUUCAGGUCGGGGACAACAGUUAGAAAUGACUGCUAAUACCGGAUGUGCCUUAUGGUGAAAGAUUUAUUGCCUGAAAAAGAGCUCGCGUCAGAUUAGCUAGUAGGUGGUGUAAGAGACUACCUAGGCGACGAUCUGUAGCUGGUCUGAGAGGACGAUCAGCCACACUGGAACUGAGACACGGUCCAGACUCCUACGGGAAGCAGCAGUGGGGAAUUUUCCGCAAUGGGCGAAAGCCUGACGGAGCAAUACCGCGUGAGGGGACGAAGGCUUUUGGGUCGUAAACCUCUUUUAUUAGGGAAGAUUUCAGGACGGUACCUAAUGAAUAAGCAUCGGCUAACUCUGUGCCAGCAGCCGCGGUAAU